This 515-nucleotide ribosomal RNA is filed under the name uncultured bacterium. RNAcentral's name for it is "partial 16S ribosomal RNA". It matches the Rfam family "Bacterial small subunit ribosomal RNA", at positions 28 to 523 of the family's 1533-position model. The record is from RNAcentral.
GAUGAACGCUGGCGGCGUGCCUAAUACAUGCAAGUCGAGCGAAUGGAUCAAGAGCUUGCUCUUAUGAAGUUAGCGGCGGACGGGUGAGUAACACGUGAGUAACCUGCCCAUAAGACUGGGAUAACUCCGGGAAACCGGGGCUAAUACCGGAUAACAUUUUGAACCGCAUGGUUCGAAAUUGAAAGGCGGCUUCGGCUGUCACUUAUGGAUGGACCCGCGUCGCAUUAGCUAGUUGGUGAGGUAACGGCUCACCAAGGCAACGAUGCGUAGCCGACCUGAGAGGGUGAUCGGCCACACUGGGACUGAGACACGGCCCAGACUCCUACGGGAGGCAGCAGUAGGGAAUCUUCCGCAAUGGACGAAAGUCUGACGGAGCAACGCCGCGUGAGUGAUGAAGGCUUUCGGGUCGUAAAACUCUGUUGUUAGGGAAGAACAAGUGCUAGUUGAAUAAGCUGACACCUUGACGGUACCUAACCAGAAAGCCACGGCUAACUACGUGCCAGCAGCCGCAGUAA